RNAcentral lists this ribosomal RNA (520 nucleotides) under uncultured Glomus. Its description in RNAcentral is "SSU rRNA". It matches the Rfam family "Eukaryotic small subunit ribosomal RNA", at positions 569 to 1092 of the family's 1831-position model. The record is from RNAcentral. Lineage: Eukaryota; Fungi; Glomeromycota; Glomeromycetes; Glomerales; Glomeraceae.
AGCAGCCGCGGUAAUUCCAGCUCCAAUAGCGUAUAUUAAAGUUGCUGUAGUUAAAAAGCUUGUAGUUGAAUUUCGGGACCAUCAUGUCGGUCGUGCCUCGGUACGUACUGGUAUUGUUGGUUUCUCCCUUCUGACGAACCAUGAUGUCAUUUAUUUGGUGUUGUGGGGAAUCAGGACUGUUACUUUGAAAAAAUUAGAGUGUUUAAAGCAGGCUCACGCUUGAAUACAUUAGCAUGGAAUAAUGAAAUAGGACGUUUGAUUCUAUUUUGUUGGUUUCUAGGAUCGACGUAAUGAUUAAUAGGGAUAGUUGGGGGCAUUAGUAUUCAAUUGUCAGAGGUGAAAUUCUUGGAUUUAUUGAAGACUAACUACUGCGAAAGCAUUUGCCAAGGAUGUUUUCAUUAAUCAAGAACGAAAGUUAGGGGAUCGAAGACGAUCAGAUACCGUCGUAGUCUUAACCAUAAACUAUGCCGACUAGGGAUCGGAUGAUGUUAAUUUUUAAUGACUCAUUCGGCGCCUUAAC